Molecule: ribosomal RNA, 213 nt
Filed under: uncultured bacterium
Lineage: Bacteria
Description: partial 16S ribosomal RNA
Rfam family: Bacterial small subunit ribosomal RNA (bases 1-187)
Source: RNAcentral
UGCGUAGGCGGCGGGGCAAGUCAGGUGUGAAAUCUCGGGGCUCAACUCCGAAACUGCAUUUGAUACUGCCUUGCUAGAGUACUGGAGAGGAGAUUGGAAUUUACGGUGUAGCAGUGAAAUGCGUAGAUAUCGUAAGGAAGACCAGUGGCGAAGGCGAAUCUCUGGACAGUUACUGACGCUGAGGCACAAGGGGCCCAGGGGGAAGGCGAACGG